UGAGGAAUAUUGGUCAAUGGGCGAGAGCCUGAACCAGCCAAAUCGCGUGAAGGAAGACUGCCUUAUGGGUUGUAAACUUCUUUUAUACAGGAAUAAAAAACGGGGACGUGUCCCUUAUUGCAUGUACUGUAUGAAUAAGCAUCGGCUAACUCCGUGCCAGCAGCCGCGGUAAUACGGAGGAUGCGAGCGUUAUCCGGAUUUAUUGGGUUUAAAGGGUGCGCAGGCGGGCUUUUAAGUCAGCGGUGAAAUCUCGGGGCUUAACUCCGAAACUGCCGUUGAAACUGGGAGUCUUGAGUAUGGAUGAAGUAGGCGGAAUUCGUUGUGUAGCGGUGACAUGCUUAGAUAUAACGAGGAACUCCGAUUGCGUAGGCAGCUUACUAAGCCAUAACUGACGCUCAAGCACGAAAGCGUGGGGAUCAAAACAGGAUUAGAUACCCUGGUAGUCCACGCCGUAAAACGAUGAUUACUAGUUGUAUGCGAUAUACCGUAUGUGACUAAGCGAAAAGCGAU
This 510-nucleotide ribosomal RNA is filed under the name uncultured bacterium. Its description in RNAcentral is "partial 16S ribosomal RNA". It matches the Rfam family "Bacterial small subunit ribosomal RNA", at positions 355 to 861 of the family's 1533-position model. The record is from RNAcentral.